AUGGGGCGAACCACAGCUAACCCUAUCUGGUGUCUGAUAUGGAAGUUAUCUUGUCCAGCAAAAGUCAAAAAAUUUAUAUGGCGUACGUUACGUGGCACACUUCCAUGUCGGGUCACACUCGCUAAUAAACACAUGAAGGUCUCACCCAUUUGUCCUACUUGCUCUCAGGGUUUAGAAGAUACGAAACACAUGCUUUUCCUCUGCAGUAAAGCAAAGGAGGUUUGGAAGAGGCUAGAGAUGGAUGAGAUUAUUGAUAAAGCUUGUGAGGUUGAUCAUGCUGGAGAGGCGGCGUUGGAGUACCUUCUACUUCUUCUAGACCAAGAUUUGCGUAUUAUGGGGUGCCAAAAUGUGCGUGAAAUGAUAACUAUUUCAGCUUGGUAUCUAUGGUGGGAAAGACGGAAAUUAAUGCACAAGGAAUUAACUCGGAAUGCAACUCAAAUUUCAAUGGGGAUCAUAGCCCUCACGUCAAACUUCGUAAAUGCAUCAACUCCAAAGGCUUCCAUGAAAGAGGGGGGUUGGUCUUGUCAUCCUAGGGGUUUUGUGAAACUUAAUGUUGAUGCUUCUUUUGAUCAUGACAUGCUGAAGGGUAUGAUGGAGGCGGUUUUGAGAGACGACAAAGGUAGGUUUAUCGCUGGAGGAAAUGCGAAGAUUGGCUAUUGUGCGGAUGUUCUGAUGGCAGAAGCCUUACCUCUCAAAUUUGGCCUAACAUUGGCGCAAAGGGCGGGGUGUAAUCGUCUUAUCAUCAACUCAGACAACCUGGAGGUGAUUGAGACCAUGCAGGACGGAGGACAGUCGGCGGGUGCGGCAGCGGCAAUUUUCGAUGACUGUUUUCACUAUGCCUGUGAUUCUGUCAUGACUAGAUUCGAACAUUGUAAUAGAGAGGCAAAUAAAAUAGCUCAUGAGCUCGCUAGAUUAGCUAGAUUUUUUUCGACUUCGGAUUGGUUUGAGGAGCCUCUAAAUGAAAUUGUAAUGAUCCUCAUAAAUGAUGUACUGGUUAUUUCUAAUGAAUAA
Molecule: ribosomal RNA, 1011 nt
Filed under: Triticum aestivum (bread wheat)
Lineage: Eukaryota; Viridiplantae; Streptophyta; Magnoliopsida; Poales; Poaceae
Description: partial small subunit ribosomal RNA
Source: RNAcentral